AAAUACAAGUUAAGAUUUAAAUACAAAGUUUUAGUUAAAAAAGUCUGGAAAAGCUAAUGUCGUCUGAGGCACUAGGUAUUACUCCAGAAGAGUCUCCUGAUACUAGUCUUAUUGACUUAUAUUCAAAAGUUGUUAGAAGGGAAACCGCACUCUCACUCUCAUUUUGAACAAGCUCACAUGACAAACUAGUAAGUACACACGUUAGAAGACAAAUUAAUAAAUUCAUAUAAUCCCCUAGGAAAAUAUGCAUGAACCCUUAAACAAAUUACAUCAAGAACUAUUUCGACAGAAAUAGGUAUUGUAUUUAGAGAAUCAUAUCGUUCUUAGAAUAAUAAAAUUGUUGUUAAGGAGUAAAGAAGAUUUCGUCAAAGAAAAUACAUGCACAACUUUUCUUAAAAAUUAACGAAAUAUAUUAAAAUUAAAGAAGACACAAUAUUAGAAAUAUUUUCAUCAAACUAAAUUUGAAAAUCGAAUUGAAUCGUAGUGGGUUUCAUGUAUUAAGUCGCCUUGUCCUGUUUUAAAUGCUGAACACGUUUCAGAAACUACCUUAUCUGACUGCUUGAAUGGUUUAAUUUUUCACUUAUUAUCAUUAUUGCACUGCCUUACCUUUUCAAUAUGUCAAUGUCAAGUCCGAGCUAUUUGCUGUCAUUGUUUUCACCAUAGAGGAAAUAUAAGAGAUGAAAAUAUAUUUCGUCUAUAGCUUUCACAUCAACGUAUGUAUAUUUUAAAUCAGCUUCAAUAAUAAAAUCCGGAUGGAAUAAGUCCUGUUUUUUUCGGCAAAUAUGCAAAGAUGUGGAACGUGCAGUAUUUUGGCCCAAGCGCAAACCGAGCGCAGUAUCCGCAAAAAAUCCAUAUCACCUGCCAGAGGAGAACCAAGAAGUUCAAGGAACUAGUAGUCCAGUGCUGGUGGAAGCUUAGAUGAUCACCGCUAAUAUUGUGAAAUUUGCAUUCGCCACGAAGACCUGAGUGAUGCAAGCAAAAUGGAUUCCAAAAAAGCGUGUCGAUCAAAAACCCAAGAAAGCACUAUUGAAUAUGAAGCUACGAACGGACCUGUGUUAAAAAGAAAAAUUAACAAAAAGAGCAAGUGACUGAAAAAAAUAACUCUUCAUACCUGCCACGAAAACAACAAUGAAGAUGUGGCGAAAUUGUUUAAAAAUCCAAGAAAAUUGACAAUAAAAAGAGGAACAGAUUUACGUUAAAAACUUGACAAGAAAAAAGGUUUUCCUACAAAAAAAGCAGACAAAUUGAAAGAAAAAAUGAAUCACCGAGUGUCAAUAAGAAUUGAAAAGAUAUUGAUGAGUUAGCUAAGAAGCAUGAUGAGAAUGCCCUAGACUUUGAAACCAAAGAAGAAGAAUGUGUUAAAGAAGGAAAAUGCUGAAAAGUCCGAUCGCUGUCCCCAGAUGAUUUUGAAAAAGAAAACUAUUGCAUCAAGAACAGCGCUACACCACCAGAAGUUGUCCCACAAUAUCCAAUACAUAAGACUUAUCAAGAACCAAUCGGCCUGCUUCCACUUAAAGGACACUUAAACUAUUUCUUAAAAAAAGUAAAAGACUGGCUUUUUACAAUUGAUUUAAAUUGAUAACUAUUAUUGAAUUUUGUAUCAUAGUUUUAUAAUCAUAAAAAAUGUACCAUUUUGUUGUUAUUUUUGCCUAAAUUUUAUGAUGAAUUAUUUAGUACCUAUGAAUGUAUGUAUAUACCUACUCUUUUUAUAUUCAGUUAUACUAUCUUUAAAAUAUUUAUUGAUUUACUUAACUCAUUGAACCAUUGUUUUAUUAUUUGUAUUGCUGAUUGUCGACCCACAACAGUUUCUAAUUUAUUGUAAAAUUAAAUCACAAUGUAUCAUUCAAUACUAACUUUCAAGUUAAAGAAUGAUAGCUAUUAUUUAUUCUUUUUUACACUUGCUAUUGUACUAGUUUUAAGUUGGAAAUGAAAAAAUGAAUGAAUAAAUUGUUUCUAAUUCUAAUUCUAGGUCCACCACUUCCGAUCUAGGAUUAUUUAGAUCGUUAGAGAUUUGAAAUAUAGAGAGAAACCAAAUAUCAGUUUUUAUAACGAUGAUAGUAGGAGUAAAUUUAUAUUAAAGUUUUGUAAAUAUCAAAAUUCAAACGAAUAAUUUUAUUAUAGUGACAUAAUAUAAGGCUUUUGUAGAUGAUCCAAAUUCAUGAAGUAACUUUUUUCAAAAAUAAUUGUGAUAAUUUUCAUAAUCUUAAAUAUCUUUCCUUAA
This is a long non-coding RNA of Eupeodes corollae, 2221 nucleotides long. RefSeq lists it as uncharacterized. The record is from RefSeq and is a predicted model, not a curated record. The transcript is spliced from 3 exons. NCBI's taxonomy places the organism in Eukaryota, Metazoa, Arthropoda, Insecta, Diptera, Syrphidae.